RNAcentral lists this ribosomal RNA (482 nucleotides) under Centipeda artemidis. RNAcentral's name for it is "bacterial SSU rRNA". It matches the Rfam family "Bacterial small subunit ribosomal RNA", at positions 28 to 482 of the family's 1533-position model. The record is from RNAcentral. Lineage: Bacteria; Bacillati; Bacillota; Negativicutes; Selenomonadales; Selenomonadaceae.
GACGAACGCGGCGGCGUGCUUAUCACAUGCAAGUCGAACGGAGCGAAUGAAAGCUUGCUUUUAUGAGCUUAGUGGCAAACGGGUGAGUAACACGUAGACAACCUGCCGAUCAGAUGGGGACAACAUUCCGAAAGGAAUGCUAAUACCGAAUGAAGUGUGGGGGAGGCAUCUUCCCUACAUGAAAGAUGGCCUCUAUAUAUAAGCUAUCACUGAUCGAUGGGUCUGCGUCUGAUUAGCUAGUAGGUAAGGUAACGGCUUACCUAGGCGACGAUCAGUAGCCGGUCUGAGAGGAUGAACGGCCACAUUGGGACUGAGACACGGCCCAGACUCCUACGGGAGGCAGCAGUGGGGAAUCUUCCGCAAUGGGCGCAAGCCUGACGGAGCAACGCCGCGUGAGUGAAGAAGGUCUUCGGAUCGUAAAGCUCUGUUGAAGGGGACGAACGAUCGAGGGGCGAACAGGCUCUCGGUAUGACGGUACCUUU